CACGUAGGGCGCAAGCGUUGUCCGGAAUUAUUGGGCGUAAAGAGCUCGUAGGCGGUCUGUUGCGUCCGCUGUGAAAACUCGGGGCUUAACCCCGAGCCUGCAGUGGAAACCAUCAGACUAGAGUCCGGAAGAGGAGAGUGGAAUUCCUGGUGUAGCGGUGAAAUGCGCAGAUAUCAGGAAGAACACCCGUGGCUAAGGCGGCUCUCUAGUACGGUACUGACGCUGAGACGCGAAAGCGUGGGGAGCGAACAGG
This 253-nucleotide ribosomal RNA is filed under the name uncultured bacterium. Its description in RNAcentral is "partial 16S ribosomal RNA". It matches the Rfam family "Bacterial small subunit ribosomal RNA", at positions 524 to 776 of the family's 1533-position model. The record is from RNAcentral.